AAAUUUUGCAAGCAUGCAUUGGCAACAGUUUCAUGAUUUUAUCAUGUACUGGUUGCCAUCUUGCCAUGCUGUGGCUUGGUUUCGGGUUGCCUGAACGGUUGCACUGCUGGCUAGCGGCACGAUGCCUUAACGACGAAAAUUUUGCCUAACGGCAUGGCAUGUUUCUGAGAAAUGUUGGCUAUAAGCCAUCCUGUGGCUUGAUUUUGGGUUUUGUUUGAACGGGGGCAAUGUUUGGUAGCGGCACGAUGCCUGAAUGGCGUAAAUGAUGCCUAGCGGCAGCAAAACAUGCUUGUGUGUCCGAGCGGUGGAUGGCUUUGUUUUUCAAAAUUGGCACUUCAAUGCAAUGCGCAACUGUUUCAUGACUUCAUCAAGUUCUAGUUGCCUUCUUCUCAUGUUGUGGAAUGGUGUGCUAUGGGUUGCUUGAUCGAUCAAAAUGGUGGUUAGCUAUUGGAUGGUCUGAUGGUGUAUAAUAUUGUUUUUUGUUGCCAGUUGCCUUGGCUAUGGUUUGCCAAAUUGUUUGGAAAGUCGGCUAAUGGUGUCAUCGCCACUUACGCUAUGCCGUUCAGAGAAGCCGUCCACCGUUGCUUGUCCGGUGCCGUCGAGAACAAUAAUCAUCGUAUUUGCCAAAAAACCCCCACCCCUGCAUCCGCUAUGCCGUUUAUCUCCGGAAUGUGUACUGAUCCCGGUGGCGGCCGUGCGGCGACGGGUCGGGGGGGGUGCUUGGGCCGGUGCGGGCUGCGCGGCUGAUUUAUUUAUAUAAAUCACGACGCGCGCGCGCGCCGCGCCCAAGUGCCCCAAGUGCCAAGAUAAGCGACCCAAGCGACCCAAGCGCCAGAUCCCAAGAUCUCGAUGUAUUCGUCGAAUGUUCCUCCUCGUCUUCAAUUAUUCGUGCCUCGCGGGUUCUUUUCAUCCCCAUCCUUACCUUGAUCCUUUGGCUUGAUUGAUUUCGGAUUGUUCAUACUCUCCGUUACAAGUUAAUGCUAUUGGGCUGGUUGGUGUGGCUAUGCUAGAGACCGUUUGCGGCACAUGAGUUGUAAUGGGCUUUGUUUUUAUUGGCAUGUUUUUGCUUUGUGCGCGGAACUGUCAGUGUAAUAGUCCUCUCACUCUCUCGCUCCUAAUGAAAUAUUUGAGAAACAUCGGAGCUUUAUAUGAGUUGCUUGCGACGUGAAACCCCUAUCAAGGUUGGCAUUAACUUUUGACAAUGCCUCCAUGGUUGGUCUACAUGCCCUUAUUAGAGGCAUGGAGAGUGCUUGCGUAGAAACAGAUCCUUCCACCGCUUGUUUCGUAGAUUGUCUCUUGGCAAUCCCUCGAUUCUUUUGCCCCUGGACGUAGGAUCUCAUCAAUUUGUUGCAAAUGUGGCUUCUUUAAAACGUGUCUUGGUUCCCUAUGGAACCAAGCUUCGGAUCGGCUAAUACAAGGCUUGCUGGUUGUGCCUUUGUCUCCUCUGUGCGACUUUGUUUCUUUCUCCUCUUUCCAUGCGGAUGGAUGGUUGUGGGUGAGAACAUUGUUGUGUUGAGGUCGAGC
RNAcentral lists this unclassified non-coding RNA (1524 nucleotides) under Corallorhiza odontorhiza. Its description in RNAcentral is "partial external transcribed spacer". Lineage: Eukaryota; Viridiplantae; Streptophyta; Magnoliopsida; Asparagales; Orchidaceae. The record is from RNAcentral.